UACGUAGGGUGCGAGCGUUAAUCGGAAUUACUGGGCGUAAAGCGUGCGCAGGCGGCUUGCCAAGUCAGAUGUGAAAGCCCCGGGCUCAACCCGGGAACUGCGUUUGAAACUGGCAGGCUAGAGUGUGGCAGAGGGGGGUGGAAUUCCACGUGUAGCAGUGAAAUGCGUAGAGAUGUGGAGGAACACCGAUGGCGAAGGCAGCUCCCUGGGCCAAAACUGACGCUCAGGCACGAAAGCGUGGGGAGCAAACAGG
Molecule: ribosomal RNA, 253 nt
Filed under: uncultured bacterium
Lineage: Bacteria
Description: partial 16S ribosomal RNA
Rfam family: Bacterial small subunit ribosomal RNA
Source: RNAcentral